This 254-nucleotide ribosomal RNA is filed under the name uncultured bacterium. Its description in RNAcentral is "partial 16S ribosomal RNA". It matches the Rfam family "Bacterial small subunit ribosomal RNA", at positions 524 to 776 of the family's 1533-position model. The record is from RNAcentral.
UACGUAGGGACCAAGCGUUGUUCGGAUUUACUGGGCGUAAAGGGCGCGUAGGCGGCAAUUCAAGUCAUCUGUGAAAUCUCCGGGCUUAACCCGGAACGGUCAGAUGAUACUGCUUUGCUAGAGUGCGGAAGGGGCAAUCGGAAUUCUCGGUGUAGCGGUGAAAUGCGUAGAUAUCGAGAGGAACACCAGAGGUGAAGACGGGUUGCUGGGCCGACACUGACGCUGAUAGCGCGAAAGCCAGGGGAGCAAACGGG